Molecule: non-coding RNA, 260 nt
Filed under: Brugia timori
Lineage: Eukaryota; Metazoa; Nematoda; Chromadorea; Rhabditida; Onchocercidae
Description: Bacterial large subunit ribosomal RNA
Rfam family: Bacterial large subunit ribosomal RNA
Source: Rfam by way of RNAcentral
GGGCUGCUCCUAGUACGAGAGGACCGGAGUGGACGAACCUCUGGUGUUCCGGUUGUCACGCCAGUGGCAUUGCCGGGUAGCUAUGUUCGGAAGCGAUAACCGCUGAAAGCAUCUAAGCGGGAAGCGCGCCUCAAGAUGAGAUCUCCCGGGGCACAAGCCCCCUGAAGGAACCAUGUAGACUACGUGGUUGAUAGGUCAGGUGUGUAAGUACAGCAAUGUAUUGAGCUAACUGAUACUAAUGAUCCGUGCGGCUUGACCAU